Molecule: long non-coding RNA, 327 nt
Filed under: Vigna radiata
Lineage: Eukaryota; Viridiplantae; Streptophyta; Magnoliopsida; Fabales; Fabaceae
Description: long non-coding RNA (VRAD_LNC006105)
Source: RNAcentral
AAGGAAUGGGAGGAGGACACCAAUAAAACCUUGAACCAUUUGAAGUUGUUGGCCAUAUUGUUGUAACUACGAUUUAAGAUUAUCAAUUUCUUCUGAAUUUUGAUGUUGAGUGGAAGAUGCCUGUGUCUGUCGGAUGUAACUAUCCACACAGUCAUUUUGGGAACUGACAUUUCCAAUGCCAGAUACACGCCCCUUGUAUCUUCCACCAGCAGCAUCUAACCAACAUUAGUUUCUCAAUCUCUCCUCCUCUACAGGGUCUAGAGGACUAGAUGCUGAGGCACCAACAGAUGCAGCCUCAGAUCUCAUUUGAGAAAAUUUGGCUUGAAA